AUCUGGGUGGCUCAGUCGGUUGAGUGUCCGACUUCAGCUCAGGUCAGGAUCUCACGGUAUGUGGGUUCGAGCCCCGCCUCGGGCU
RNAcentral lists this transfer RNA (85 nucleotides) under Felis catus (domestic cat). It matches the Rfam family "tRNA". Rfam says of the family: Transfer RNA (tRNA) molecules are approximately 80 nucleotides in length. The record is from Rfam by way of RNAcentral. Lineage: Eukaryota; Metazoa; Chordata; Mammalia; Carnivora; Felidae.